CAAGUGCUCCCAACGCUGUUUGAACAGGAAGUUCAGUCCUUCCACGGUUGCUGCAGCAAACAGCCUCGGAAUGGGAAGAACUGAAAGAGGCCUUUACGUUGGAAGAAGAAGAAUUCCUUUUUUUAUUCUUAGUGCUGCUCCAACAUGAAGAAAAUGUGGUGGACUGGAGGGAGGGCUUUCUCUUACCACAGGCAAGAGCUUCUGAGCAGGAGCACCAAACAGGAAUAGACAGUUCCAGAAAAACCAGCAGAGAAGUAACUGGGAGGGAACCAAGCUGGAGAGCUGAGGAUGGAAAGGUGAUCCAAAGAUGGGAUCAUCCAUUUCCAAUUUCAUCUGAAUUUUUUUUUAUAAAAGAUCAACAGCUCCCCAAACUGAUGAAAGCAGCUACACAUGGAAACACUGCCAGUUACCUUGUGUAGCGGUCCUUAGGACUGUUAUGUCUUGGUACAGAGAGGAGCAAGAAGGCAAGAAUUCCUUUUUUAGCACCAUGGCUUCGAUCCGAAGUGAAUAGCUAAAAAGUGAUAAGAAAAUAACAAGAUUAAGUAAAGCUGUAGCAGGCGUCAGUAAUGACCCCGCUCCACAGAGACAGUGGCCAGAGAUGCAGCCUUACUUUGGCACCUGAAUCAAGCCAUACAGAAAGGAAUCUGCCAGAGAAAGCUUGGACACAUCGCCGUUAAAUGUCUUUAACUUCUUAACCUAAAAGACAAGAGAAAAGGGGAGAAGAGAAAAGAAAAUAAUUGAUCAAAAUUUAAGACUAAAUUUCAUUUUAGGAUCAUCCUAAAAAAAUAAUGUUUCAGUGCUAAAUUCGUAUUAAUAAAAUGUAGA
Molecule: non-coding RNA, 825 nt
Organism: Myodes glareolus (Bank vole)
Lineage: Eukaryota; Metazoa; Chordata; Mammalia; Rodentia; Cricetidae
Source: RefSeq, a predicted model, not a curated record